GUUUUGAGCAAGCCUUCUUGGCUGGAAAAAGAACUUCUAAUUAACAUAAAAUAACAGCUUUCAAACACUUGACUCAGGAUAUGGAAUUGAAAAGGUGUGGGCUUGCAUUUCAGAGAACCAGACAGGAAGAACAAUGGUAGAGUGGCUGAGCACAAACGAUGGAAAAAAGCACUUGGAAGACCUCUCAAGAGGAACAGCAUGAGAGAGGCUGGCAGAGAAAAGGAGCCAGGGACACAGCAGGGACAAAGAGGAAAGCCUGACAGCUGCUGCCUAGGCAGGAAUGCAAAAUGGCUGUGCAGAAAAGCAUGCGGGAUCUGCCCAAGCGGGGCAGCGGCUGAGGGGGCCCUGGAUACCUUCCCCAUCUCUUGCUGCCUCCUGUCCAGAUCGGGGGAGCUGGAGUGAGGCUGGCUGUCAAAUAUCCGAAGGAAAGUGAGCAUCUGUCACCAGCAGCCUCUGGUCCCAGGCUGAGUCACUGUCACUGAAAAUCAAUACCGUCACUGGCCCGACCUCCGCCAGGUGAGCCUAUGAUGCUGGGAUGACAGCUGUGCACGUCCUGGAGCUGGGAGGCCUCAAAUCACCCCGAGGCCCCUCUGGCAACAGCUGGAAGGGAUGAGAAAGGAUGGAACAGGUCAUGUGACCAUUCCCACUAGAUACCAAAUACUGCAUGGGGCCUCCCAAAAUGCACAUCCUCAAUAAUGUCACGUGAAUAAUCGAAUUCCUCAACGGUUACACAGGAAAUAAACAAUUCUUAGAUCAUC
Molecule: long non-coding RNA, 758 nt
Filed under: Homo sapiens (human)
Lineage: Eukaryota; Metazoa; Chordata; Mammalia; Primates; Hominidae
Description: HSALNT0214663
Source: RNAcentral